UGCACAAUGGGCGGAAGCCUGAUGCAGCGACGCCGCGUGAGGGAUGACGGCCUUCGGGUUGUAAACCUCUUUCAGUAGGGAAGAAGCGUAAGUGACGGUACCUGCAGAAGAAGCGCCGGCUAACUACGUGCACAGCAGCC
RNAcentral lists this ribosomal RNA (140 nucleotides) under actinobacterium H15. Its description in RNAcentral is "partial 16S ribosomal RNA". It matches the Rfam family "Bacterial small subunit ribosomal RNA", at positions 365 to 516 of the family's 1533-position model. Lineage: Bacteria; Bacillati; Actinomycetota; Actinomycetes. The record is from RNAcentral.